Molecule: long non-coding RNA, 294 nt
Filed under: Capsicum annuum
Lineage: Eukaryota; Viridiplantae; Streptophyta; Magnoliopsida; Solanales; Solanaceae
Description: long non-coding RNA (CANN_LNC017277)
Source: RNAcentral
GGUGUAUUUGUCAGGUUGCUUGUGAUUGCUCAACUGUAGCCUUAUGAGUAAUCUUGAGUAGAGUGUAAUUAAGGUUGUGCUAGUGGCUUCUCACUGCUGUAAACAACUAUGGCCUUAAACCUUUUGAGUAAUAAUAUACUAUGAAUUGAUUUCUGGGUUUCUGCGUUUUGAGCUUUCCCUUCGCGCACUCUAUCUGAACCAAGCUCACCUGGACCCUGAGUGGGUUGAAUAUGUAUGGCAAGGCUUGCAAGCCAAACCCUUUCACCUUGGUGCCCAAGGCUAUGGUGCAGGACA